RNAcentral lists this long non-coding RNA (523 nucleotides) under Prunus persica (peach). Its description in RNAcentral is "long non-coding RNA (PPER_LNC003856)". Lineage: Eukaryota; Viridiplantae; Streptophyta; Magnoliopsida; Rosales; Rosaceae. The record is from RNAcentral.
GUGUACCCAUACAAAGUGAUCAUCAAAACCUGUGGAACAACAAAAUUGCUUCGAUCAAUCCCUGCCAUCCUCAAGUUGGCUGAGACUCUCUCCUUGGCUGUAAAAUCAGUGAGGUACUCUCGUGGGAGCUUUAUAUUUCCUGGUGCUCAGCCCUCUCCACAUCGUAGCUUUUCAGAGGAAGUAGCUGUCCUUGAUGGCCAUUUUGGCAAGCUUGGUUUGGCAAGCAGAGCAUAUGUUAUGGGUAGCUCUGACAAAACACAGAAAUGGCAUAUUUACUCUGCAUCGGCAGAGUUGGCAAGCUUACUUUGGGGCGCACGCCAAUCAGGACCCACAUACACAUUGGAGAUGUGCAUGACUGGUUUGAACAGGAAGAAGGCAUCUGUGUUUUACAAAUCAAAGGCAAGUUCAGCUGCUGGUAUGACUGAAGAAUCUGGCAUUAGGAAGAUCCUCCCCCAGUCUGAAAUAUGUGACUUUGAGUUUGAUCCUUGUGGUUACUCCAUGAAUUCGAUUGAAGGGAAUGCAA